This 461-nucleotide ribosomal RNA is filed under the name uncultured bacterium. Its description in RNAcentral is "partial 16S ribosomal RNA". It matches the Rfam family "Bacterial small subunit ribosomal RNA", at positions 339 to 795 of the family's 1533-position model. The record is from RNAcentral.
CUACGGGUUGCUGCAGUUAAGAAUCUUGCGCAAUGGGCGAAAGCCUGACGCAGCGACGCCGCGUGGACGAUGAAGGCCCUAGGGUUGUAAAGUCCAUUAUGCAGGGAAGAAUAAGUUUCGGCUAAUAUCCGGAACGAUGACGGUACCUGCUGAAAGCCUCGGCUAACUACGUGCCAGCAGCCGCGGUAAUACGUAUGAGGUAAGCGUUGUUCGGAAUUAUUGGGCGUAAAGGGCGUGUAGGCGGGGAACUAAGUUAGAUGUGAAAGCCAUGGGCUCAACCCGUGAAUUGCAUCUAAUACUGGUUCUCUUGAGUUCGGGAGAGGAGAGCGGAAUUCCCGGUGUAGCGGUGAAAUGCGUAGAUAUCGGGAAGAACACCAGUGGCGAAGGCGGCUCUCUGGCCUAGAACUGACGCUAAGGCGCGAAAGCGUGGGGAGCGAACGGGAUUAGAUACCCCAGUAGUC